UGGCAGUGUCUCAAAUGAAGAUGGGCUG
Molecule: non-coding RNA, 28 nt
Filed under: Rattus norvegicus (Norway rat)
Lineage: Eukaryota; Metazoa; Chordata; Mammalia; Rodentia; Muridae
Source: RNAcentral